Long non-coding RNA from Quercus lobata, 604 nucleotides. RefSeq lists it as uncharacterized. NCBI's taxonomy places the organism in Eukaryota, Viridiplantae, Streptophyta, Magnoliopsida, Fagales, Fagaceae. The record is from RefSeq and is a predicted model, not a curated record. The transcript has 2 exons.
UUUUAUUUUCCCAUGAAUAUUUCAUUUCCUACUACACAAAACUCUCUCUCAUUUUCUCUCUAUCUCUCACAUUCACUCUCACACACACACACAUCUUCACAUUCACACUCACACUCACACACAGCUCCACUAGCACCGACGAGGAAAGACCAACCCAGCGCCACCGAGCCCAGCACCGACGAGGAAAGACCAACCCAGUGCCGCUGAGCCCAGCACUGACAAGGCCAAACCCAACUUAGCCCUCCUCUGGCCCAAAUCUCCUUUUGAUUGCUCAAUGAAUUCAAAGCUCUUUUCGUUUCAACGAUCUUAGCCAGGGUUUUGGGAAAUUAACCGACGCUCAUAAAGUGUUUGAUGAAAUGCCGAGGAAGAAAGUUGUUACUUGGACCGCUGUUAUUGAUGGGUACUUCGAAUUUGGCAUUUGGGUUUGAUCAUUUUUGGACAAACUAUAUGAUCGUUUCUUGUAGGACAAAUUCCUCUGGAAUUUUGGGAUUUGUUUAUCUGGGGUUCCUUGUUAAAAUAAGCACAUCAAGUAGUCAGGAAAUGCCUAACUCUUCCUUAUAAUAAUACCAAGUCCCACAUGAGAAAAUUAGAAAGAAAGAGAAAA